This 628-nucleotide ribosomal RNA is filed under the name uncultured bacterium. RNAcentral describes it as "bacterial SSU rRNA". The stretch from base 1 to 542 matches the Rfam family "Bacterial small subunit ribosomal RNA", at positions 338 to 873 of the family's 1533-position model. The record is from RNAcentral.
CCUACGGGAGGCAGCAGUGGGGAAUUUUGGACAAUGGACGCAAGUCUGAUCCAGCCAUGCCGCGUGCGGGAAGAAGGCCUUCGGGUUGUAAACCGCUUUUGUCAGGGAAGAAACGGGUUUCUCUAAUACAGAGACCUAAUGACGGUACCUGAAGAAUAAGCACCGGCUAACUACGUGCCAGCAGCCGCGGUAAUACGUAGGGUGCAAGCGUUAAUCGGAAUUACUGGGCGUAAAGCGUGCGCAGGCGGUUAUGCAAGACAGAGGUGAAAUCCCCGGGCUCAACCUGGGAACUGCCUUUGUGACUGCAUAGCUAGAGUACGGUAGAGGGGGAUGGAAUUCCGCGUGUAGCAGUGAAAUGCGUAGAUAUGCGGAGGAACACCGAUGGCGAAGGCAAUCCCCUGGACCUGUACUGACGCUCAUGCACGAAAGCGUGGGGAGCAAACAGGAUUAGAUACCCUGGUAGUCCACGCCCUAAACGAUGUCAACUGGUUGUUGGGAGGGUUUCUUCUCAGUAACGAAGCUAACGCGUGAAGUUGACCGCCUGGGGGAGGUACGGCCGCGAGUAGAACGUACAAUAGAAGUUAGACGGCGUGAGACGUGCCGACGGACGACGACGAGGGAGGUUAGG